This is a long non-coding RNA of Wyeomyia smithii (pitcher-plant mosquito), 361 nucleotides long. RefSeq lists it as uncharacterized. Lineage: Eukaryota; Metazoa; Arthropoda; Insecta; Diptera; Culicidae. The record is from RefSeq and is a predicted model, not a curated record. The transcript has 2 exons.
ACAGCUGCAGUCCUGCUGCCAUCAACUUCUCAUCAUUUAGCAAAUUUAGCAAAAAACCAAAACAAAAUGAAGCUUUUCGCCAUCCUCCUGAUCACUUUGGCUUUACUGGGUCUCUCUAACGGAGCACCAUUCUUGAUCACCAAGAAACUAAGGAAGGUGCUACGUCCUGUGUUGAUCAAUGCUUGGAACUCACACGUGGUGCCAACGGUGGAUGAUUUUGGACAGCGGCUCGUGUAUGGUGCACCACUGGUUGUUGGAUAGUUUGUAAAGCAGCGUGAAUAUUUAACAAAUUUAGCAAAUUCUUUUAGUAAAAUUAAGUAAAGAAAUGAAUAUAUGACAAUUCAAACAAAAACUGUUAAAA